UACGGAGGUGGCAAGCGUUGUUCGGAAUUACUGGGCGUAAAGGGCGCGUAGGCGGCAAGGCAAGUCAGGUGUGAAAGCCCCGAGCUUAACUCGGGAAUUGCAUCUGAAACUGCUGUGCUUGAGUUCUGGAGGGGGUAGUGGAAUUCCCAGUGUAGCGGUGAAAUGCGCAGAUAUCGGGAGGAACACCAGUAGCGAAGGCGACACUCUGGGCCGGUACUGACGCUGAGGAGCGAAAGCGUGGGGAGCAAACAGG
This 253-nucleotide ribosomal RNA is filed under the name uncultured bacterium. RNAcentral describes it as "partial 16S ribosomal RNA". It matches the Rfam family "Bacterial small subunit ribosomal RNA", at positions 524 to 776 of the family's 1533-position model. The record is from RNAcentral.